UCAUGCUGACGCGGAGGGACAUUACAGAGUUGAAAACUCCAACCCCUGUGAACCUACCUUUACUGUUGCUUCGGCGGACGAUGGCCCCCCGGGUCCGGACGCCGCCGGAGGUUACAAACCCUGAAUCUUUGUGUAUCUCUGAGUACAAAACCAAAUAAUUAAAACUUUCAACAACGGAUCUCUUGGUUCUGGCAUCGAUGAAGAACGCAGCGAAAUGCGAUAAGUAAUGUGAAUUGCAGAAUUCAGUGAAUCAUCGAAUCUUUGAACGCACAUUGCGCCCGCCGGUAUUCCGGCGGGCAUGCCUGUCCGAGCGUCAUUUCACCACUCAAGCCAACUUGGUGUUGGGGCACCCGGCCGCCCGGCGGUCGGGGCCCCCAAGAACAUCGGCGGUCUCGCUAGGACCCUGAACGCAGUAACUCGCGGUAAAACGCGCUUCGUUCGGAGGCUUCCCUGCGGGCUCCAGCCGCUAAACCCCCUAAACUUCUUAGGUUGACCUCCGGAUCACGUAGGAAUACCCGCUGAACUUAAGCAUAUCAAUAAAACAGAGAGAGAC
This is a ribosomal RNA of 553 nucleotides. The stretch from base 163 to 316 matches the Rfam family "5.8S ribosomal RNA".